Molecule: ribosomal RNA, 467 nt
Filed under: uncultured bacterium
Lineage: Bacteria
Description: partial 16S ribosomal RNA
Rfam family: Bacterial small subunit ribosomal RNA
Source: RNAcentral
GACGAACGCUGGCGGCGUGCUUAACACAUGCAAGUCGAACGGAAAGGCCCUGCUUUUGUGGGGUGCUCGAGUGGCGAACGGGUGAGUAACACGUGAGUAACCUGCCCUUGACUUUGGGAUAACUUCAGGAAACUGGGGCUAAUACCGGAUAGGAGCUCCUGCUGCACGGUGGGGGUUGGAAAGUUUCGGCGGUUGGGGAUGGACUCGCGGCUUAUCAGCUUGUUGGUGGGGUAGUGGCUUACCAAGGCUUUGACGGGUAGCCGGCCUGAGAGGGUGACCGGCCACAUUGGGACUGAGGUACGGCACAGACGGCACCGGGAGGCAGGAGUGGGGAAUAUUGCACAAUGGGCGGAAGCAGGAUGCAGCAACGCCGCGUGCGAGAGGACGGCCUUCGGGUUGUAAACCGCUUUCGCCUGUGACGGAGCGUGAGUGACGGUAAUGGGUAAAGAAGCACCGGCUAACUACGU